This 400-nucleotide unclassified non-coding RNA is filed under the name soil metagenome. RNAcentral's name for it is "partial contains 5.8S ribosomal RNA, internal transcribed spacer 2, and large subunit ribosomal RNA". The stretch from base 1 to 122 matches the Rfam family "5.8S ribosomal RNA", at positions 35 to 154 of the family's 154-position model. The record is from RNAcentral.
GAUGAAGAACGUAGCGAAAUGCGAUACUUGGUGUGAAUUGCAGAAUCCCGUGAACCAUCGAGUCUUUGAACGCAAGUUGCGCCUCAAGCCAUUAGGUUGUGGGCACGUCUGCCUGGGCGUCACAUAUCGUUGCCUGAUGCCAGUUUCCUCGUGAUGGGUGACUGUGCAGGGCGAAUGAUGGCUUCCCGUGAGCAUUGUUGCCUCAUGGUUGGUUGAAAAUUGAGUCCUUGGUAGGGAGCGCCGUGAUAGAUGGUGGUUGAGUGACGAACGAGACCCAAUCAUGUGAGACCCCUACCGAAUUUGGCCUUCAUGACCCACAUGCGUCUUUGGAACGCUCAUGACGAGACCUCAGGUCAGGCGGGGCUACCCGCUGAGUUUAAGCAUAUCAAUAAGCGGAGGA